GACAAGAAAUAACAAUACAGGGCAAUUGUCUUGUAAUUGGAAUGAUGGUGACCUAAACCCUCACCAGAGUAACAAUUGGAGGGCAAGUCUGGUGCCAGCAGCCGCGGUAAUUCCAGCUCCAAUAGCGUAUAUUAAACUUGUUGCAGUUAAAAAGCUCGUAGUUGAAUUUCUGCGUUAUCGAGUUAUUGACUCUUGUCUUUAAUCGAUUUCGCUUUUGGGAUUUAUCCCUUUUUACUUUGAGAAAAUUAGAGUGUUUCAAGCAGACUUUUGUCUUGAAUACUUCAGCAUGGAAUAAUAGAGUAGGACUUUGGUUCUAUUUUGUUGGUUUUUGAACCUUAGUAAUGGUUAAUAGGAACGGUUGGGGGCAUUCGUAUUUAACUGUCAGAGGUGAAAUUCUUAG
This 400-nucleotide ribosomal RNA is filed under the name Babesia venatorum (nom. ined.). RNAcentral describes it as "SSU rRNA". It matches the Rfam family "Eukaryotic small subunit ribosomal RNA", at positions 469 to 923 of the family's 1831-position model. The record is from RNAcentral. Lineage: Eukaryota; Apicomplexa; Aconoidasida; Piroplasmida; Babesiidae.